This 1415-nucleotide long non-coding RNA is filed under the name Gallus gallus (chicken). RNAcentral describes it as "lncRNA (ENSGALG00010023757.1)". Lineage: Eukaryota; Metazoa; Chordata; Aves; Galliformes; Phasianidae. The record is from RNAcentral.
ACCACUCUAACUUCACCUUCUCUCUUCUGACAGUGUGCAUCUGUUGUUUUGGUGGUGUUUUUUUUUUUUUUUCCAUUGUACUAGUUACUGUGUUAGUAAAGCCCAAGGCAAGCUUCAGUCUAAGUCCUGCCUACUAGAGCCAGAUAAUUACUUCAAGAACUGGACAUCAAAUUCUGUUUUUCUUCCAGAGCCUGAUGUGUUCUCAUGAAAACGAGAAUAUUCAUUUCUCAAGUACCCUGCCUGGGACUUAAAGAAUGCUUUGAAAUCAGUGAUGUUACUUCAACAGAAGUAUUUAUGUGAUCCCCUUAUAAGGAUGAUCCAGAAUCUAUAGAGGCUAAACUCUGUACGGAGGAGCUUAAACUAAGAAAGCGCUUGCAAAGGCUCAUUCAGCCAUCUCAACGCUGGAUGUCUGCUCUCAGUCAGCCACUAACCGGAGAUCCAGGCUUGUCCAACUGUUGCCAUUUCACAGUGAUUGAUUUGCUUCAUUGUAAAUAGGGAGGAACUGAAACAUCCAGUAUGAAUACAAAACUCUUCUGUGACCUUGCACAUCUGUUUCUGGGUCUCUCUUUGGAAGCACUGGAAAGGAAAAGCUUGAAAGAAAGCACUCUUUCACAGGUAUGUACCUGUUUGAAUCUCUGAGACACCUUUAAAAAUAGAGUGGGCAUGUCCUAUCGCAUACUGAGAAGUGAGAGAAAUGAGGGUGGGGUAAGUAUUGUCCUCCCUUGGAAGCUGAGAGAUUGAGGAAGCUCCUUCCUCAUGGCUGAACAUGCUGAGCAGCUGUGUAAAUGCUCUCUGCCCAUUUUGCUUAAAAAGAAACAGGUUUGCACUAACUCCCUUGGAUGGUGGGUGGUUUAAACUAACCUCCCAGCUGUGCACUGAAAUGAAUUAAAGGUAUAUGUACAAUUGACCAUGGUGUCUGGGCUGAAAGACCUUCCACCACAUCGCAGGCCCUCGUUCCAUCGUGCUGUGCUGUUUGCACACAGACUGCUGGUGGCUGCGCAACACAGGAGUGUGGGCCUGGGAAAGGAUCAGGAGUGCUGAGUGUGCAGUCUGCACCCAGCAUCACACCACAGCUUCCCCCAGACGGCACACUGCUGCGCGUGGAGCAGAAAUCUGCCUCUGUUUCCUAUUUUAUAGAAACUGAAAUGACCGCAGUGGAUCUGUCCCUAGCUGCUAUCCAGCAGGCCCUGCUUUAAUUUUAGAAUAUGUUUGGGACUUUCCCUUCUGAGGGUCUUCAGACCUGAUUUUCUGGGUGAGUAUUAGUAAUAAUGGUCCAAAAAAAGCCAAAAAGAAAUAUAUGAAACAUUCUAUUAAGUUUGAAAUGAAAUUCUGAAUAAGAUGUGUGUGUUCUUCACAGAAUAUUUACUUUGUAAUACAACCAUUGAUAAUAAAAAAAAAAAACUGCAGUAGUUUUC